GCUCAGUAACACGUGGAUAACCUGCCCUUGGGACCGGCAUAACCCCGGGAAACUGGGGAUAAUUCCGGAUAACGCAUAUUUGCUGGAAUGCUUUAUGCGUCAAAAGGAUUCGUCUGCCCAAGGAUGGGUCUGCGGCCUAUCAGGUAGUAGUGGGUGUAAUGUACCUACUAGCCAGCGACGGGUACGGGUUGUGAGAGCAAGAGCCCGGAGAUGGAUUCUGAGACAUGAAUCCAGGCCCUACGGGGCGCAGCAGGCGCGAAAACUUUACAAUGCGGGAAACCGUGAUAAGGGGACACCGAGUGCCAGCAUCAUAUGCUGGCUGUCCGGAUGUGUAAAAUACAUCCGUUAGCAAGGGCCGGGCAAGACCGGUGCCAGCCGCCGCGGUAA
RNAcentral lists this ribosomal RNA (387 nucleotides) under uncultured bacterium. Its description in RNAcentral is "bacterial SSU rRNA". It matches the Rfam family "Archaeal small subunit ribosomal RNA", at positions 88 to 473 of the family's 1478-position model. The record is from RNAcentral.